ACUACGGGUGGCAGCAGUGAGGAAUAUUGGUCAAUGGCCGGAAGGCUGAACCAGCCAAGUCGCGUGAGGGACGACUGCCCUAUGGGUUGUAAACCUCUUUUAUAAGGGAAGAAUAAAUGCUACGUGUAGCAUUAUGCCUGUACCUUAUGAAUAAGCAUCGGCUAACUCCGUGCCAGCAGCCGCGGUAAUACGGAGGAUGCGAGCGUUAUCCGGAUUUAUUGGGUUUAAAGGGUGCGUAGGCGGUUUUUUAAGUUAGUGGUUAAACGUCGGGGCUUCACCUUGAUUUGCCAUUAAUACUGUAAGACUCGAGUUCAGACGAGGUAGGCGGAAUAAGUUAAGUAGCGGUGAAAUGCUUAGAUAUCACUUAGAACUCCGAUAGCGAAGGCAGCUUACCAGACUGCGACUGACGCUGAAGCACGAGAGCGUGGGUAGCGAACAGGAUUAGAUACCCUUGUAGUC
RNAcentral lists this ribosomal RNA (459 nucleotides) under uncultured bacterium. Its description in RNAcentral is "partial 16S ribosomal RNA". It matches the Rfam family "Bacterial small subunit ribosomal RNA", at positions 338 to 795 of the family's 1533-position model. The record is from RNAcentral.